CCUACGGGCGGCUGCAGUCGAGAAUCAUUCACAAUGGGGGAAACCCUGAUGGUGCGACGCCGCGUGGGGGAAUGAAGGUCUUCGGAUUGUAAACCCCUGUCAUGUGGGAGCAAAUUAAAAAGAUAGUACCACAAGAGGAAGAGACGGCUAACUCUGUGCCAGCAGCCGCGGUAAUACAGAGGUCUCAAGCGUUGUUCGGAAUCACUGGGCGUAAAGCGUGCGUAGGCUGUUUCGUAAGUCGUGUGUGAAAGGCGCGGGCUCAACCCGCGGACGGCACAUGAUACUGCGAGACUAGAGUAAGGGAGGGGGAACCGGAAGUCUCGGUGUAGCAGUGAAAUGCGUAGAUAUCGAGAGGAACACUCGUGGCGAAGGCGGGUUCCUGGACAUUAACUGACGCUGAGGCACGAAGGCCAGGGGAGCGAAAGGGAUUAGAUACCCUAGUAGUC
RNAcentral lists this ribosomal RNA (446 nucleotides) under uncultured bacterium. RNAcentral's name for it is "partial 16S ribosomal RNA". It matches the Rfam family "Bacterial small subunit ribosomal RNA", at positions 338 to 795 of the family's 1533-position model. The record is from RNAcentral.